AGUGAACGCUGGCGGUAGGCCUAACACAUGCCAGUCGAACGGCAGCACCGUAAGAGCUUGCUCUUACGGGUGGCGAGUGGCGGACGGGUGAGGAAUACAUCGGACUCUACUUUUUCGUGGGGGAUAACGUAGGGAAACUUACGCUAAUACCGCAUACGCCCUACGGGUGAAAGCAGGGGAUCUUCGGACCUUGCGCGAUUGAAUGAGCCGAUGUCGGAUUAGCUAGUUGGCGGGGUAAAGGCCCACCAAGGCGACGAUCCGUAGCUGGUCUGAGAGGAUGAUCAGCCACACUGGAACGGAGACACGGUCCAGACUCCUACGGGAGGCAGCAGUGGGGAAUAUUGGACAAUGGGCGCAAGCCUGAUCCAGCGAUACCGCGUGGGUGAAGAAGGCCUUCGGGUUGUAAAGCCCUUUUGUUGGGAAAGAAAAGCAGCAGGUUAAUACCCCGCUGUUCUGACGGUACCCAAUGAAUAAGCACCGGCUAACUUCGUG
Molecule: ribosomal RNA, 492 nt
Filed under: uncultured bacterium
Lineage: Bacteria
Description: partial 16S ribosomal RNA
Rfam family: Bacterial small subunit ribosomal RNA
Source: RNAcentral